AUCCAUGUAGGAAGGAACUCCGGUCCACAGGCUGUUGUCACGCGGAUAGCCCGACUCCGGCUGCCGGGUCGCCUGCUGGUCUUUCUGACUCUCGUCGAAUCUCCAGAACUCGCCUUGGCUGAACAAAGAGCGGGCGAGGAUAGCCGCUCAUGGCCACCGUGUCUUUGAAGACCCAGUACUGAGAUCCUGUUUGAGAGUGGAGCGACCCGAUUCAAAAUGGCAGCUAUUUAUAUUUGCUGGCCUUAGACUCCACUUAAUCUUAACCUUCUCACCGAUAAAGAAGAUGAUACUAUUGUCGCUCUUUCUCUCGUACACGGCGUCAAUCUUAUUUGUCCCCGGUGGAAGUCCGAUCCAAAAAUUUUUGAUCUGAGCCGGAUUAAGGGACACCAGUGAGCCGUCUCGCGUGGUCCUCCAGAAAUUAGCACCUAUUGUCAGACGUGAGCGUCACAUGCGGGCAUUUUUUGGAAUUUGGUUUAUCUUUACCUUUAAAGAAGAAGACCUCCCCUCUGAUGUUGGCCACUGCGUCAAAUCCCCCGUGACAACGGUUGUGGACGGUAGGGUCAGACCUGAGACAGCAGAGAAGUUGCAUUGGGAGUAGUUUGCAAGACGUCCACAAGAGGGCGCAAUCAGAAACAAAUACCAGUAGCUGUAAUUUAACUCACGGCCUUGUCGGUCUAGUCGGAGGUGGGUUGGGCAAACGUGGGAGGUUGGGGUCGACGCCUCCUGGUCGUUCCCCCUCCUUGCUGCCUGUAGAAGAGCAAAGGUUGGUCAACGUGUUGGAACACAGGAUACAAACACCUUGUCAUUUCAAAAGUAACGCGUCGGCGGUUUUUAUAAUAGAAACGAAAACCAAUUUAUUACAAUCUGGUUGGUGAGGAGACCUACUUGGCAGUGAGUCAUUAUGAUGAGAAUCAGAUAUAACACAUGAUCAAGAUGACACUUGUGGUCACAAAACAACAAGUCAGCACUAUUCUAUAUUUUGCGAAACAAUUCACAGACACAAAGAGGAACUUAUGUAUGUACGCUAAAUGCUGAAACGGUAAAAAUGAGCACCUGCAACACCUGAGGCAGAACCCGGGCAUGUCUAGACCGGGCCCCCUCAUCAUCUGAUGAGUCACUGGAAUUAACUAGAGACCACCAUUUGCGAAUCAAAGAAGAGUCACAAGAGAGAUUUUUUUUUUUCAGUCUGACUAACCAUAAAGCUGCUGAAUGGCCAGUUUGUCAUCCAAGGCCAGCUGGUAGUGGAUGAUGUCUCCUACGGGACCCUGGUAAUACGGCCUCAUAAUGGAGGGGUCCGAGGAGGAAUGCGACAGGCCCAGUGCGUGGCCGAACUCGUGUACCGCCACCGUGAACAAGUCGGUAGUGCUGUCGAUGUUCCCUGAAAGCAGAAAUGGUCGAAUCUCGACAACCGAUUUAUAAUUUGCACGAAAGUUGCUGUACCUCCAUAGCUCCAUCUUUCAUGGUCAUCAAAAUGCGUGUCACCGGACACCUCGUCUCUACCGGGGAAGAAGGCGUGGGCUAAGGUGCCCCCUUGCCCGUCAAAGGGAUACCCGUCAUCGUGCAGUAAGCUGUUGAAGGACACUCUGAUGUCACCGCCGCUCGGCGGGUUUCCGCCGCCGCCCGGCAGCUGGAGGAAUGUCAAAGGGGUGGCGUCGCUCCAAGCUUUGAAGGCGUGGGUCAGGAUGCCUUCCACCAAAUUUGAGGGCAGGCCCGGGGAGAGGGUGGGCGACGGGUAGCUGUGGAUGCUGCAAAGGAAGACACUCGCUUGAGAUUUGGGGCAACUUGGGCAGUGCCCCGACUGACUCAGCAGAUGGCGCUGUGGUCAUUCAAUUUGAAAACACACCUCCAUGUCAGAUCGCUCUUGUGCCACUUCAAACCUGACAGCGCAUAUCUUCUCCUCCUCCUUCUCUUCUUCAACAUGUCCUCGCUCCCGACAAUAUCGGGAAGGGAGCAUCGCGGUGUCGACAUGAGCUUCAGCGUUUCAUCAUCUACAGCACGCCGGUUUCCCGCACGCCGCCGAAUCUUUGCAUGACCCGUAUGGCCUUCUCGAUGCCCUCCUUGGACUGCAGCUUACUCGUCCGGGGGUCGGGCGGAGGGAGGUAGCCAUACCUGCUCAACCAAUCCUGCAAAACAAAGACAAAGAGGAACUGAAGUCAUGUGCGGUUUCCUCCUAACAUGAUUACCACAGCAAAAUAUCGCUAUAUGGAAAAACAACAAUAUGUUUGAUUUCACUUCCUUUCUCUCACGUGAUUGCAUGACGUUUAUGAAUUUGUUCAUUAAUAUUGCAUGCUUGUGAGUGAGUUGCGCAAUGUUACGCCUUCGGCUGUCACUAUAAGUGAAUCGAGGAGCGAAAUAAACACAUCGCUGUGAUGUGUUCAUAAAUUUGUGUCAAAACAGGAAA
Syngnathus acus (greater pipefish) is the source of this 2401-nucleotide long non-coding RNA. RefSeq lists it as uncharacterized. NCBI's taxonomy places the organism in Eukaryota, Metazoa, Chordata, Actinopteri, Syngnathiformes, Syngnathidae. The record is from RefSeq and is a predicted model, not a curated record. The transcript has 3 exons.